GACAAGAUGGCCGAGUGGUUAAGGCGGUCGCCUGCUAAGCGCACAACCGUUCAGGUUGGUAAGCGAUUGGGUUCUGCCCGCGUGAGUUCGAAUCUCAUUCUUGUCGA
This 107-nucleotide transfer RNA is filed under the name Malassezia restricta. RNAcentral's name for it is "tRNA-Ser". It matches the Rfam family "tRNA". Rfam says of the family: Transfer RNA (tRNA) molecules are approximately 80 nucleotides in length. Lineage: Eukaryota; Fungi; Basidiomycota; Malasseziomycetes; Malasseziales; Malasseziaceae. The record is from RNAcentral.